RNAcentral lists this long non-coding RNA (5411 nucleotides) under Papio anubis (olive baboon). RNAcentral's name for it is "lncRNA (ENSPANG00000048252.1)". Lineage: Eukaryota; Metazoa; Chordata; Mammalia; Primates; Cercopithecidae. The record is from RNAcentral.
AAUGAAAGUGCGCAGCCGCCCUAGCAACUGCGGUCCACCAAUGGCGGGGCCGGGCGGGGCUGCGCGCUGUCAGCGCUGGGCGGCGGGGCGGGGCCGGCUGCAAGCAAGGACUCGGGGCCCGCGCGGCGCCUCUCGGGGCCCGGCCGCCGCCUCUGCGCGCAGCCCCGCAGGCCGGGCAUGGGUUGGGGCGCCGGGCCGGCACGAUGAGCGCGCUGGGCAGCCCGGUCCGGGCCUACGACUUCCUGCUCAAGUUCCUGCUGGUGGGCGACAGCGACGUGGGCAAGGGCGAGAUCCUGGCGAGCCUGCAGGACGGCGCGGCCGAGUCCCCGUACGGCCACCCGGCGGAUUGAAAGGCCCAGGGAGUGGUCAGCCUGGCCACGAAGAUCCCUACGGCAAGGCCCGCAAAGCGUGCGAUUUCAGAGGAGCCACUCCAUGCCCACCAGGAGGAAAACCAGGUUGCAUUCAGAGGGUCAAGAGUGAGUCUGACGGCCGAUCUCAAAAGGAACUCUGGAAUGACGUGAAUGUGUUUAAGGGAAAAGCUCUUCUCCCUCCAUUGUAUGCCUGUCCAAACACGAGGAAGAGUGAGGGCAGCCUAAAGACGUCUUCAGACGUGCACAGUCUCAGAUACCACCUUCUUCCCUGCAACCUUCUCAGGAAUUGAAGAGGAGUAAGCUAAGAGACGGAAGGAUGGAAUCCAGCAGUGAGGGAGUGGGGGCCCCGGGGCAACCGUCUUCCCAGUCCAGAUGGGAGCAGGACAGAAGGUCUGGAAAGACGCCCCAAACAAAGCGAAAUUGUUGAAUGUUUGCAAGUGCCGAGAGCAGAUUUAGAUAACUGGGGAAAAUUAUAGUGAUGAAUUAAUUCGUAAUAAAUGCAGAGAAACUGAGCAAAUGAACAUGAGGCAAUUUUUUUUUUUUUUUUUUUUGAGACCGGAGUCUCACUCCAUCCCCCAGGCUGGGGUGCAGUGGUGCGAUCUCAGCUCACUGCAACUGCCGCCUGCCAGGUUCAAGCAAUUCUUCUGCCUCAGCCUCCCAAGUAGCUGGGACUACAGGCGCCCACCACCACGCCUGGCUAGUUUUUGUAUUUUUUUAGUAGAGAUGAGGUUUCACCAUGUUGGUCAGGCUGGUCUCGAACUCUUGACCUCAGAUGAUCCACCUGCCUCGGCCUCCCAAAGUGCCGGGAUUAUAGGCAUGAGCCACCGCACCCGGCACAAUGAGGCAGUUUUUAACUCCAGUAAAAACAAAAAUUCGUAUGUGAGGGAAAAAUGAACGUUGUAUACCAUAUGAUGGUUCAGCUGUGGAUGGCGUCUACCUGGUGUCAUUUUCUGUUGCUAUAACAGAAUUCCACAAACUGGGUAAUUUAUAAAGAAAAUAAAUGCGUUUCUUACAGUUUUGGAGGCUGGGAAGUCCAAGGUUGAGGGGCUGCAUCUGGGGAGGGCCUCCUGCUGUGUCAUAACCUGGCAGAGGGCAUCGCGUGAGCCGGUCAGCUCAGGUGUCUUCCUCUCCGUGUAACGCCACCAGUCCUAUCAUCAGGGCCCCGCACUGCCCACCCUACCUAGUCCUAAUUACUUCACAAAGGCCCACCUCCAGUCAGCACAGGAACGGGGGUUUACGUUUCUAACGUGAAAUUUAGGGGACACAUUCAAAGCACAGAACCUGGUUAUGAUGAUGUAGAAUUGAAUAUCCAUCGAGUUUUAAAAGGUGAGGUGUGUCUGAGAACGGGGAGUGUGUGUGUGUUAGAGUUACAGGGGUGGGGUGUGUUAGUACAGGGAGUUUGUGGAGUGUGUGUUAGAGUUACAGGGGUGGGUGUGUCAGUGAGAACAGGGAGCGUCUGUGUUAGAGUUACAGGGGUGGGGUGUGGCGAGUGAGUACAGGGAGCGUGUGUUACAGGGGUGGGUGUGUCAGUGAGUACGGGGAGCGUGUGUGUUAGAGUUACGGGGUGGUGUGUCCAGUGAGUAUGGGGCGUGUGGUGGGAGUUACAGGGUGGGGUGUGUCAGUGAGAACAGGGGGCGUGUGAGUGUGUAGGGAGUUACAGGGGGUAGGUGUGUCGAGUGAGAACAGCAAGGGGCGUCUGUCUGUUAGAGAUUACAGAAUUGGGAGUGUGGCAGUGAGUACAGGGAGCGUGUGUUACAGGGGUGGGUGUGUCAGUGAGUACGGGGAGCGUGUGUUGGGUUAGAGUUACAGGGGUGGGUGUGUCAGUGAGUACAGGGAGCGUGUGUGUUAGAGUUACAGGGGUGGGUGUGUCAGUGAGUACAGGGAGCGUGUGUGUGUUAAAGUUACAGGGGUGGGUGUGUCAGUGAGAACAGGGAGCGUGUGUGUUGGGGAGAGUUACAGGGGUGGGUGUGUCAGUGAGUACAAGGGGCGUGUGGUGUUGGGAUUACAGGGGUGGGGUGUGUCCGAGGUGAGGGAACAGGGGAGUGUGGGUGUGGUGGGGAUUACAGGGGGUGGGAAUUGUGUCCAGUGAGUACAGGGAGUGUGUGGAGUGUGAGUGUUAGAGUUACAGGGGUGGGUGUGUCAGUGAGUACAGGGAGCGUGUGUGUGUUAAGAGUUACAGGGGUGGGUGUGUCAGUGUCAGAGAGCUACAUGUUCACCUUCUAUAGUGGAAAGUCAAUGGAUGCCUUACGGUGGAAUGUCAGGAAGUGGGAACGUAAGCGUGUUGUUUAUAAAUUUGGAGUGCAUAGCAAAAGAAAUUUUUUUAAAGGAUUAAAAUGGGGAGGGGGACACAGGGAUUGGGGUGGGCCGGGGCCCGCAUCGUGGAUAGUGACAGCCCUUGAGACUGAGCAUCCAUGACUCUGAAAACAAAAAACAAAGAUGUUUUUGAAACUCAUAGGGUGCUUACAAAGACCAUCAGGAAGCCAGGCACAGUGUCUCACGCCUGUAAUCCCAGUACUUUGGGAGGCCGAGGCGGGCAGAUUACAAGGUCAGGAGUUCAAGACCAACCUGGCCAAUAUGGUAAAACUCUGUCUCUACUAAAAAUUAAAAAAAUGAGCCAGGUGUGGUGGUGCCUGUCUACAGUCCCAGCUACUCGGGAGGCUGAGACGGGAGAAUCGUGUGAACCCGGGAGGCGGAGGUUGCUGUGAGCUGAGAUCGUGCCACUGCACUCCAGCCUGGGCAACAGAGCAAGAUUCCAUCUCAAAAAAAAAAAAAGAAAAAGAAAAAGAAAAAGACAAGACAAGACCAUCAGGAAUUCUCUUACAUUUCUGAACACAUUUUAAAGUUUUUUGGCCCUCAGCUGGGCACGGUGGCUCACACCUACAAUCCUAGCACUUUGGGAGGCCGAGGCAGGAGGAUCACCUGAGGUUGUGAGUUUGAGACCAGCCUGGCCAACAUGGUGAAACCCCGUCUCUACUAAAAAUACAGAAAUUAGCUGGGCAUGGUGGUGCACACCUGUAAUCCCAGCUACACGGGAGGCUGAGGCACGAGGAUUGCUUGAACCACGAGAAUUGCUUGAGGCGGAGGUUGCAGUGAACCAAGAUCAUGUUCCCGCACUCCAGCCUGGGCGACAGAGCAAGACUCUGUCUCCAAAAAAAAAAAAAAAAAAAAAAAAAAAAUUGUUUGGCCCUCAAGGACAGGACGAGAGGAUACUUUCUAAGUCAGAGGACCCAGCCAAGCCCAGGCAGUGGAUUAAUCUCUGGAAGGACAAAAAUGGGCCUCUCAGCCUGUGGGGGUGAGUGUCCCUUCUGUCUGGAGACAGACAUAUCAAGGCCGGUGUUGUCUCCAUAUUCAAAAACAGAUUCCCAAGUGUAUUCAUUCAUUGCCUCGCGCCUGCCCAGGGAAAAUAAGUACUUCGAAAAUUCACUUUGAGGUUGCAAUUAUGGAUCAAAUAUGUGUGUUCUUUUCAAAUUUAUUGUGUGUGUUUCACGCUCUGUGUGUUCAGUGCUGACGGCUGCAGGACUUGGCACAUGGUGGUGCCCUUCCCGAGAGCCUAGCAGGGUUUUAAAGGACUGUGAAGAGUUGGGCAUCACUCAAAGCGUCAUUUCGCAGGGCCUGAAGCUCCUGUGCUGGGGCUGAUAGAACCGUCCAGUUGGAAGGCUCCAGAAAAGUGUUUUUGUCUCCUUUCACAUUUUUUUUUUUUUUAGAGACAGAGUCUCCCUGUGUCACCCAGACUGGAGUGCAGUGGCACGAUCAUAGUUCACUGCAGCCUCCAACUCCCGGGUUCAAGAGAUCCUCCCACCUCAGCCUCCUGAGUAACUGGCACAACAGGUGUGCACCACCAUGACUGGCUAAUUUUUUUUGUUUUAUUUUUAAUUUUUGAGACGGAGUUUUUCAUUCUUGUUGCCCAGGGUUGAGUGCAAUGGUGCGAUCUUGGCUCACUGCAACCUCCGCCUCACGGAUUCAAGAAAUUCUGCCUCAGCCUCCUGAGUAGCUGAGAUUACAGGCAUGUACCACCACGCCCGGCUAAUUUUGUAUUUUUAUUAGAGACAAGGUGUCUCCAUGUUGGUCAGGCUGAUCUCGAACUCCUCACCUCAGGUGAUCCACCCGCCUCGGCCCCUCAAAGUGCUGGGAUUACAGACAUGAGCCACUGCACCCAGGCCCUAAUUUUUUAAUUUUUUAUAGAGAUGAGGUCUCACCAUGUUGCCGAGGCUGGUCUCAAAUUCCUGGGCUCAAGCGAUCAUCCCACCUUGACGUCCCAAAGAACUGGGAUUACAGGCAUGAGCCACCAUGCCUGGCUGAGUAUUUUCCUUUCUAUUAAAGAAUUAUUUCCUCGAUACUCACUUAGUCACUUGGGAAAACUGCAGCAGUGCUGUUUUGGUCUGAGAGCAAUGGAGGCUACGCCCCAUCCCCCACAGUGGUGAAGUCAAGCUCCCGGUGCUAAGAUGCUGAUGGUAGCAGUGGCCCAUCUAGUGUGGCUGCUGCCAAGAUGCUGGCUGCAGUGGGGAGGCGUGGCUGGGCCUCCUGUUCCACAGAGCAGGUAGGAGCCCUCCCCGGGUGCCAUGGCCACUGCCCUGGGGCAGCUCCAGACGCGGGCAACUCCAGACGCGGGCAUCUCUGUGCUCUGGGAAAGCCACCCCUGUCCCCUGCAGGCUUAGAAGUGCCUGCUCCAGGCCGGGCACGGUGGUUCACGCCUGUAAUCCCAGCACUUUGGGAGGCCGAGACGGGCGGAUCACAAGGUCAGGAGAUCAAGACCAUUCUGGCUAACACAGUGAAAUUAUUUUUUUUGAGUUUGCCUAUGCUUUGUUAUGUGUAUCCUACAUUGAAAGCCUCGCUUCAUUUGUCGAUCAUACAUCAUGAUCAAGCCAUUUUUAGAGUUUUUAGAGACGGGUUUCACCGUGGGUCUUGAUCUCCUGACCUUGUGAUCCGCCUGGCCGGCCUCCCAAAGUGCUGGGAUUACAGGCGCGGAGCCACUGCGCCCGCCAAGACCAUUCUGGCUAACACAGGAAACCUCAUCUCUAUCAAGUCAUGCACCAAGUCAGC